GUUCCUUGCAUACACAGAACAUAGCUUCAAUCGAGAUUGUAAAAGUAUAAUGAAGCUACUUUUAAUAACGUUGUUAGUUAUCUCUCGUGUAUUUACAUUUUGUAUUGCCUAUGCACGCUUUUACCCAAACGCUUCACACCCAGAUUAUCCCAACCAAUGCUUCGACGCAGUAGGUCAAAUUCACGUAGACGUUGGAACAACGGUGCAAAGCAAAUACUGUGAACGAAUCACCUGUUCUAAAGAUUACUCGAUGUCAAUCUACGGUUGUAGUGUUAUUGCAGUUUUACCACGAUGUCAACUGAUACCAAAAGAUUAUGAAAAGCCUUAUCCGGAUUGCUGUUCUAAAAUGGACUGUUCGACAACAAAAGCAGAUGCAUAGUUCAACGACCCAGCGCUCAAAAUAAUAAAAAAUUGAAUGAAUCUAUAACAUCGGGUCUUUGAAGAAACUACACUUAA
Molecule: long non-coding RNA, 456 nt
Organism: Topomyia yanbarensis
Lineage: Eukaryota; Metazoa; Arthropoda; Insecta; Diptera; Culicidae
Exons: 3
Source: RefSeq, a predicted model, not a curated record